This 468-nucleotide ribosomal RNA is filed under the name uncultured bacterium. Its description in RNAcentral is "partial 16S ribosomal RNA". It matches the Rfam family "Bacterial small subunit ribosomal RNA", at positions 28 to 507 of the family's 1533-position model. The record is from RNAcentral.
GACGAACGCUGGCGGCGUGCUUAACACAUGCAAGUCGAACGGAAAGGCCCUGCUUUUGUGGGGUGCUCGAGUGGCGAACGGGUGAGUAACACGUGAGUAACCUGCCCUUGAAUUUGGGAUAACUUCAGGAAACUGGGGCUAAUACCGGAUAGGAGCUCCUGCUGCAUGGUGGGGAUUGGUAAGUUUCGGCGGUUGGGGAUGGACUCGCGGCUUAUCAGCUUGUUGGUGGGGUAGUGGCUUACCAAGUCUGUGACGGGUAGCCGGCCUGAGAGGGUGACCGGGCACAAUGGGACUGAGAUACGGCCCAGACUCCUACGGGAGGCAGCAGUGGGGAAUAUGGCACAAUGGGCGGAAGCCAGAGGCAGCAACGCCGCGUGCGGGAUGACGGCCUUCGGGUUGUAAACCGCUGUCGCCUGUGACGAAGCGUGAGUGACGGUAAUGGGUAAAGAAGCACCGGCUAACUACGUG